This is a small nucleolar RNA of Trichomycterus rosablanca, 132 nucleotides long. RefSeq annotates it as small nucleolar RNA SNORA55. The record is from RefSeq and is a predicted model, not a curated record. The transcript has a single exon. Lineage: Eukaryota; Metazoa; Chordata; Actinopteri; Siluriformes; Trichomycteridae.
GCACUCCUGCAAACCCAGUUCUCUUGGUUUCUGUGGUGAAUUUGGGUUAAAGUAGUGCUAAAGUAAUUCAGAGUGUAUCCAGACGAGUUUCUGCCUCUGUUGGAACUUGUCCCUACAACCUUUGAAACAAUU